Molecule: ribosomal RNA, 448 nt
Filed under: uncultured Rhizobium sp.
Lineage: Bacteria; Pseudomonadati; Pseudomonadota; Alphaproteobacteria; Hyphomicrobiales; Rhizobiaceae
Description: bacterial SSU rRNA
Rfam family: Bacterial small subunit ribosomal RNA
Source: RNAcentral
GGGGAGCGGCAGACGGGUGAGUAACGCGUGGGAAUCUACCGUGCCCUACGGAAUAGCUCCGGGAAACUGGAAUUAAUACCGUAUACGCCCUACGGGGGAAAGAUUUAUCGGGGUAUGAUGAGCCCGCGUUGGAUUAGCUAGUUGGUGGGGUAAAGGCCUACCAAGGCGACGAUCCAUAGCUGGUCUGAGAGGAUGAUCAGCCACAUUGGGACUGAGACACGGCCCAAACUCCUACGGGAGGCAGCAGUGGGGAAUAUUGGACAAUGGGCGCAAGCCUGAUCCAGCCAUGCCGCGUGAGUGAUGAAGGUCUUAGGAUUGUAAAGCUCUUUCACCGGUGAAGAUAAUGACGGUAACCGGAGAAGAAGCCCCGGCUAACUUCGUGCCAGCAGCCGCGGUAAUACGAAGGGGGCUAGCGUUGUUCGGAAUUACUGGGCGUAAAGCGCACGUA